AGUGAACGCUGGCGGUAGGCCUAACACAUGCAAGUCGAACGGCAGCACAGUAAGAGCUUGCUCUUACGGGUGGCGAGUGGCGGACGGGUGAGGAAUACAUCGGCAUCUACUUUUUCGUGGGGGAUAACGUAGGGAAACUUACGCUAAUACCGCAUACGACCUACGGGUGAAAGCAGGGGAUCUUCGUACCUUGCGCGAUUGAAUGAUCCGAUGUCGGUUUAGCUAGUUGGCGGGGUAAAGGCCCACCAAGGCGACGAUCCGUAGCUGGUCUGAGAGGAUGAUAGGCGACACGGGAACUGAGACACGGUCAAGACGACUACGGGAGGCAGCAGUGGGGAAUAUUGGACAAUGGGCGCAAGCCUGACCCAGCCAUACCGCGUGGGUGAAGAAGGCCUUGGGGUUGUAAAGCCCUUUUGUUGGGAAAGAAAAGCAGCAGGUUAAUACCCCGCUGUUCUGACGGUACCUAAAGAAUAAGCACCGGCUAACUUCGUG
This 492-nucleotide ribosomal RNA is filed under the name uncultured bacterium. RNAcentral's name for it is "partial 16S ribosomal RNA". It matches the Rfam family "Bacterial small subunit ribosomal RNA", at positions 29 to 507 of the family's 1533-position model. The record is from RNAcentral.